RNAcentral lists this ribosomal RNA (479 nucleotides) under uncultured bacterium. RNAcentral's name for it is "partial 16S ribosomal RNA". It matches the Rfam family "Bacterial small subunit ribosomal RNA", at positions 28 to 523 of the family's 1533-position model. The record is from RNAcentral.
GACGAACGCUGGCGGCGUGCUUAACACAUGCAAGUCGAGCGAUGAAGCACCUUCGGGUGUGAAUUAGCGGCGAACGGGUGAGGAACACGUGAGAAAUCUGCCUUCAACUCUGGGAUAACUCCGGGAAACCGGGGCUAAUACCGGAUAUGAGCCUUGAUCGCAUGAUCGGGGCUGGAACGUUUUUCGGUUGAAGAUGAUCUCGCGGCCUAUCAGCUUGUUGGUGAGGUAAGGGCUCACCAAGGCGACGACGGGUAGCCGGCCGGCGAGGGCGACCGGCCACACUGGGACUGAGACACGGCCCAGACUCCUACGGGAGGCAGCAGUGGGGAAUAUUGGGCAAUGGAGGAAACUCUGACCCAGCGACGCCGCGUGAGGGAUGAAGGCCUUCGGGUUGUAAACCUCUUUCAGUAGGGAAGAAGCGAAAGUGACGGUACCUACAGAAGAAGCACCGGCUAACUAUGUGCCAGCCGCCGCCGUAA